AGUGACAGGUAACCACCGAAGGAAGCACCGGCUAAUCUCCGUGCCAGCAGCCGCGGUAAUACGGAGGGUGCAGGCGUUAUUCGGAAUUACUGGGCGUAAAGCGCGUGCAGGCGGGCCGGCAAGUCUGAUGUGAAAGCCCCGGGCUCAACCCGGGAAGUGCAUUGGAAACUGUUGGUCUUGAGUUCUGGAGAGGAUGGGGGAAUUCCCGGUGUAGAGGUGAAAUUCGUAGAGAUCGGGAGGAAUACCAGUGGCGAAGGCGCCCAUCUGGACAGAAACUGACGCUGAGACGCGAAAGCGUGGGGAGUAAACAGGAUUAGAUAACCCUGGUAGUCCACGCUGUAAACCGAUGAGCACUAGGUGUCGCGGGUA
RNAcentral lists this ribosomal RNA (369 nucleotides) under uncultured Geobacter sp. RNAcentral's name for it is "bacterial SSU rRNA". It matches the Rfam family "Bacterial small subunit ribosomal RNA", at positions 466 to 831 of the family's 1533-position model. Lineage: Bacteria; Pseudomonadati; Thermodesulfobacteriota; Desulfuromonadia; Geobacterales; Geobacteraceae. The record is from RNAcentral.